RNAcentral lists this non-coding RNA (188 nucleotides) under Clostridium autoethanogenum. RNAcentral's name for it is "T-box sequence". It matches the Rfam family "T-box leader". Rfam says of the family: Uncharged tRNA acts as the effector for transcription antitermination of genes in the T-box leader family. T-boxes are found upstream of many aminoacyl-tRNA synthetase genes and some amino acid biosynthetic genes usually in Gram-positive bacteria. The anticodon of a specific tRNA base pairs to a specifier sequence within the T-box motif, and the NCCA acceptor tail of the tRNA base pairs to a conserved bulge in the T-box antiterminator hairpin. The record is from RNAcentral. Lineage: Bacteria; Bacillati; Bacillota; Clostridia; Eubacteriales; Clostridiaceae.
AUAUAGGCAAUGAAUAGAAAAAGUAAAUAUUUUAUUAUAUAAAGAGAGGGAGUGGAUGGUGUAAACUUCUUAUAAUAUAUAUUGAAGCUAUCUAUGAGUCAUAACAUAUAAUUUAAGAGAUACAGGUUUUUUGUUUUAUAUAUCUGUUUAAUUAGGGUGGUACCGCGGAUUCAGCUUUCGUCCCUUUU